GUUCAGCUGACGAGUUCUAAUUAGAACGAAACGCGUAUCCUGAAU
RNAcentral lists this non-coding RNA (45 nucleotides) under Schistosoma bovis. RNAcentral also lists the same sequence under 1 other name. The record is from RNAcentral. Lineage: Eukaryota; Metazoa; Platyhelminthes; Trematoda; Strigeidida; Schistosomatidae.